GUGGAUUAGAUAGGAGCUGGCAAAGGCCUGCAGGAGUGGCAGCAAAACUUAUAGAUUGCAAAGCAUCUAAAGGUAAUUCUCCACUCAUAGUCAUACAUACCAACUCAGGAUUGUUCAUGAGUUAUAAUGGCUCGAAUUUGAUGACGAUAAGGAUGAUCGUCAGGGCUUCUGAAAUUAUUAAAUUAAAGAAAGGAUGAGAUCAAUUCAGAAGUAAUUUUUUUAUUUAAUUUCGAAUUGCUUCAUCGAGUAUUCGCUACAAAAACCCGGUAAAAAAAGUUGCAAGCACCUGUUUUCAGCACUUGGGAUGGCAACCAAUGGCUGGUACAACAGACUGUAUACAGUCGCCGGACAGUACUUAGAAAGGAGAUUCGACGCUUAAAUUAGACAAUCUAGAUAGGAUGGUGCACAAAACUGAAUCCUGUUUCGUUUACUGCAAGUGCGAAAGCUGUAUUUGGUUUUGCAGGCUGUCAAAUCCUUCAGGAUCAUUAAUUUCAAAUGGAAUAGAAAAUCAGAGUGAUUAAUUUGGU
This is a non-coding RNA of Malus domestica (apple), 527 nucleotides long. Lineage: Eukaryota; Viridiplantae; Streptophyta; Magnoliopsida; Rosales; Rosaceae. The record is from RefSeq and is a predicted model, not a curated record.